This 607-nucleotide ribosomal RNA is filed under the name uncultured bacterium. Its description in RNAcentral is "bacterial SSU rRNA". The stretch from base 1 to 516 matches the Rfam family "Bacterial small subunit ribosomal RNA", at positions 338 to 873 of the family's 1533-position model. The record is from RNAcentral.
CCUACGGGAGGCAGCAGUGGGGAAUAUUGGACAAUGGGCGCAAGCCUGAUCCAGCCAUGCCGCGUGAGUGAUGAAGGCCCUAGGGUUGUAAAGCUCUUUCGGCGGGGAAGAUAAUGACGGUACCCGCAUAAGAAGCCCCGGCUAACUUCGUGCCAGCAGCCGCGGUAAUACGAAGGGGGCUAGCGUUGCUCGGAAUCACUGGGCGUAAAGGGUGCGUAGGCGGGUCUUUAAGUCAGAGGUGAAAUCCUGGAGCUCAACUCCAGAACUGCCUUUGAUACUGAGGAUCUUGAGUUUGGGAGAGGUGAGUGGAACUGCGAGUGUAGAGGUGAAAUUCGUAGAUAUUCGCAAGAACACCAGUGGCGAAGGCGGCUCACUGGCCCGAUACUGACGCUGAGGCACGAAAGCGUGGGGAGCAAACAGGAUUAGAUACCCUGGUAGUCCACGCCUUAAACGAUGAAUGCCAGCGUGUGGUUACGUCAUCAGUGGCGCAGACUACGUACUUACGUACACUCCGUCCGUCGGGAGGUACGGUCGCGAGAAGUUAAACUACGAAAGUUAAGUUAGUACGGCGUUGAGACGUUGCCGACGGACGACGACGAGGGAGAGG